CCUACGGGAUGCAGCAGUGGGGAAUAUUGGGCAAUGGGCGCAAGCCUGACCCAGCAACGCCGCGUGAAGGAAGAAGGCUCUCGGGUUGUAAACUUCUUUUAUCAGGGACGAAGCAAGUGACGGUACCUGAUGAAUCAGCCACGGCUAACUACGUGCCAGCAGCCGCGGUAAUACGUAGGUGGCAAGCGUUAUCCGGAUUUACUGGGUGUAAAGGGCGUGUAGGCGGGAAAGCAAGUCAGAUGUGAAAACCAUGGGCUCAACCUGUGGCCUGCAGUUGAAACUGUUUUUCUUGAGUACUGGAGAGGGAGACGGAAUUCCUAGGGUAGCGGUGAAAUGCGUAGAUAGUAGGAGGAACACCAGUGGCGAAGGCGGUCUGCUGGACAGCAACUGACGCUGAGGCGCGAAAGCGUGGGGAGCAAACAGGAUUAGAUACCCCUUGUAGUC
RNAcentral lists this ribosomal RNA (444 nucleotides) under uncultured bacterium. Its description in RNAcentral is "partial 16S ribosomal RNA". It matches the Rfam family "Bacterial small subunit ribosomal RNA", at positions 338 to 795 of the family's 1533-position model. The record is from RNAcentral.